RNAcentral lists this ribosomal RNA (253 nucleotides) under uncultured bacterium. Its description in RNAcentral is "partial 16S ribosomal RNA". It matches the Rfam family "Bacterial small subunit ribosomal RNA", at positions 524 to 776 of the family's 1533-position model. The record is from RNAcentral.
UACAGAGGUCUCAAGCGUUGUUCGGAUUCAUUGGGCGUAAAGGGUGCGUAGGCGGCGCGGUAAGUCGGGUGUGAAAUCUCGGAGCUUAACUCCGAAACUGCAUUCGAUACUGCCGUGCUUGAGGACUGGAGAGGAGACUGGAAUUUACGGUGUAGCAGUGAAAUGCGUAGAUAUCAGGAAGAACACCCGUGGCGAAGGCGGUUCUCUGGGACGGUACUGACGCUGAGACGCGAAAGCGUGGGGAGCGAACAGG